This 462-nucleotide ribosomal RNA is filed under the name uncultured bacterium. RNAcentral describes it as "bacterial SSU rRNA". It matches the Rfam family "Bacterial small subunit ribosomal RNA", at positions 28 to 507 of the family's 1533-position model. The record is from RNAcentral.
GAUGAACGCUGGCGGCGUGCCUAACACAUGCAAGUCGAACGGACGCGAGGAGCUUGCUCCUCAAGUUAGUGGCGGACGGGUGAGUAAUGCGUGAGCAACCUGCCUCUCAGAGGGGGACAACAGUUGGAAACGACUGCUAAUACCGCAUAACAUGAUCUGGCCGCAUGACCGGAUCAUCAAAGAUUUAUCGCUGAAAGAUGGGCUCGCGUCUGAUUAGCUAGUUGGUGGGGUAACGGCCCACCAAGGCGACGAUCAGUAGCCGGACUGAGAGGUUGAACGGCCACAUUGGGACUGAGACACGGCCCAGACUCCUACGGGAGGCAGCAGUGGGGAUAUUGCACAAUGGGGGGAAACCCUGAUGCAGCAACGCCGCGUGAAGGAAGAAGGUCUUCGGAUUGUAAACUUCUGUUUUAGUGAAGAACAAAUGACGGUAGCUAAAGAGGAAGCCAGGCUAACUACGUG